This 637-nucleotide ribosomal RNA is filed under the name Massilia sp. RNAcentral's name for it is "bacterial SSU rRNA". It matches the Rfam family "Bacterial small subunit ribosomal RNA", at positions 61 to 693 of the family's 1533-position model. Lineage: Bacteria; Pseudomonadati; Pseudomonadota; Betaproteobacteria; Burkholderiales; Oxalobacteraceae. The record is from RNAcentral.
GUCGAACGGUAACAGGGAGCUUGCUCCGCUGACGAGUGGCGAACGGGUGAGUAAUAUAUCGGAACGUACCCAAGAGUGGGGGAUAACGUAGCGAAAGUUACGCUAAUACCGCAUACGAUCUAUGGAUGAAAGUGGGGGAUCGUCAGACCUCGUGCUCCUGGAGCGGCCGAUAUCUGAUUAGCUAGUUGGUGAGGUAAAGGCUCACCAAGGCGACGAUCAGUAGCUGGUCUGAGAGGACGACCAGCCACACUGGAACUGAGACACGGUCCAGACUCCUACGGGAGGCAGCAGUGGGGAAUUUUGGACAAUGGGCGCAAGCCUGAUCCAGCAAUGCCGCGUGAGUGAAGAAGGCCUUCGGGUUGUAAAGCUCUUUUGUCAGGGAAGAAACGGUAGAGGCUAAUAUCCUUUGCUAAUGACGGUACCUGAAGAAUAAGCACCGGCUAACUACGUGCCAGCAGCCGCGGUAAUACGUAGGGUGCAAGCGUUAAUCGGAAUUACUGGGCGUAAAGCGUGCGCAGGCGGUUUUGUAAGUCUGUCGUGAAAUCCCCGGGCUCAACCUGGGAAUUGCGAUGGAGACUGCAAGGCUAGAAUCUGGCAGAGGGGGGUAGAAUUCCACGUGUAGCGGUGAAAUGCGUAG